RNAcentral lists this transfer RNA (72 nucleotides) under Polyangiaceae bacterium. RNAcentral's name for it is "tRNA-Thr". It matches the Rfam family "tRNA". Rfam says of the family: Transfer RNA (tRNA) molecules are approximately 80 nucleotides in length. Lineage: Bacteria; Pseudomonadati; Myxococcota; Polyangiales; Polyangiaceae. RNAcentral also lists the same sequence under 2 other names. The record is from RNAcentral.
GCUGGCGUAGCUCAAUGGUAGAGCACCUGUUUUGUAAACAGGUGGUUAGGGGUUCAAGUCCCCUCGUCAGCU